This 206-nucleotide ribosomal RNA is filed under the name uncultured bacterium. RNAcentral describes it as "partial 16S ribosomal RNA". It matches the Rfam family "Bacterial small subunit ribosomal RNA", at positions 568 to 774 of the family's 1533-position model. The record is from RNAcentral.
UGCGUAGGUGGCGAAGUAAGUCGGAUGUGAAAUCUCGGAGCUCAACUCCGAAACUGCAUUGGAAACUACUUUGCUCGAGGGUCGGAGGGGGGACUGGAAUUCUCGGUGUAGCAGUGAAAUGCGUAGAUAUCGAGAGGAACACCAGUGGCGAAGGCGAGUCCCUGGACGACUCCUGACACUGAGGCACGAAAGCUAGGGAGCAAACA